This 417-nucleotide ribosomal RNA is filed under the name uncultured bacterium. Its description in RNAcentral is "bacterial SSU rRNA". It matches the Rfam family "Bacterial small subunit ribosomal RNA", at positions 29 to 490 of the family's 1533-position model. The record is from RNAcentral.
AGCGAACGCUGGCGGCAGGCUUAACACAUGCAAGUCGAGCGGGCGUAGCAAUACGUCAGCGGCAGACGGGUGAGUAACGCGUGGGAACAUACCUUUUGGUUCGGAACAACACAGGGAAACUUGUGCUAAUACCGGAUAAGCCCUUACGGGGAAAGAUUUAUCGCCGAAAGAUUGGCCCGCGUCUGAUUAGCUAGUUGGUGAGGUAACGGCUCACCAAGGCGACGAUCAGUAGCUGGCUGAGAGGAUGAUCAGCCACAUUGGGACUGAGACACGGCCCAAACUCCUACGGGAGGCAGCAGUGGGGAAUAUUGGACAAUGGGCGCAAGCCUGAUCCAGCCAUGCCGCGUGAGUGAUGAAGGCCCUAGGGUUGUAAAGCUCUUUUGUGCGGGAAGAUAAUGACGGUACCGCAAAGAAUAA